GACGAUCGCUGGCGGCGUGCUUAACACAUGCAAGUCGAACGGAAAGGCCCUGCUUGCAGGGUACUCGAGUGGCGAACGGGUGAGUAACACGUGGGUGAUCUGCCCUGCACUUCGGGAUAAGCUUGGGAAACUGGGUCUAAUACCGGAUAGGAGCCAUCUUUAGUGUGGUGGUUGGAAAGUUUUUUCGGUGUAGGAUGAGCUCGCGGCCUAUCAGCUUGUUGGUGGGGUAAUGGCCUACCAAGGCGGCGACGGGUAGCCGGCCUGAGAGGGUGUACGGCCACAUUGGGACUGAGAUACGGCCCAGACUCCUACGGGAGGCAGCAGUGGGGAAUAUUGCACAAUGGGCGCAAGCCUGAUGCAGCGACGCCGCGUGGGGGAUGAAGGCCUUCGGGUUGUAAACUCCUUUCGCUAGGGACGAAGCUUUUUUGUGACGGUACCUAGAUAAGAAGCACCGGCUAACUACGUG
This 466-nucleotide ribosomal RNA is filed under the name uncultured bacterium. Its description in RNAcentral is "partial 16S ribosomal RNA". It matches the Rfam family "Bacterial small subunit ribosomal RNA", at positions 28 to 507 of the family's 1533-position model. The record is from RNAcentral.